Molecule: ribosomal RNA, 447 nt
Filed under: uncultured bacterium
Lineage: Bacteria
Description: bacterial SSU rRNA
Rfam family: Bacterial small subunit ribosomal RNA
Source: RNAcentral
GGCCAGACUCCUACGGGAGGCAGCAGUGGGGGAUAUUGCACAAUGGGGGGAACCCUGAUGCAGCGACGCCGCGUGGGUGAAGAAGCGCCUCGGCGCGUAAAGCCCCGUCAGCAGGGAAGAAAAUGACGGUACCUGAAGAAGAAGCCCCGGCUAACUACGUGCCAGCAGCCGCGGUAAUACGUAGGGGGCAAGCGUUAUCCGGAUUUACUGGGUGUAAAGGGGGCGCAGACGGCGAUGCAAGCCAGGAGUGAAAGCCCGGGGCCCAACCCCGGGACUGCUCUUGGAACUGCGUGGCUGGAGUGCAGGAGGGGCAGGCGGAAUUCCUGGUGUAGCGGUGAAAUGCGUAGAUAUCAGGAGGAACACCGGUGGCGAAGGCGGCCUGCUGGACUGCAACUGGCGUUGAGGCCCGAAAGCGUGGGGAGCAAACAGGAUUAGAUACCCCCGUAC